UACGUAGGGUGCAAGCGUUGUCCGGAAUUAUUGGGCGUAAAGAGCUCGUAGGCGGUCUGUCGCGUCUGCUGUGAAAACUCAGGGCUUAACCCUGAGCUUGCAGUGGGUACGGGCAGAUUAGAGUGCGGUAGGGGGAGACUGGAAUUCCUGGUGUAGCGGUGAAAUGCGCAGAUAUCAGGAGGAACACCGGUGGCGAAGGCGGGUCUCUGGGCCGUAACUGACGCUGAGGAGCGAAAGCAUGGGGAGCGAACAGG
This 254-nucleotide ribosomal RNA is filed under the name uncultured bacterium. Its description in RNAcentral is "partial 16S ribosomal RNA". It matches the Rfam family "Bacterial small subunit ribosomal RNA", at positions 524 to 776 of the family's 1533-position model. The record is from RNAcentral.